AAUUGGAAAUGACAGAAAAACUUGCACCUCUUUAGAUGAUGAUAAGCUAGAGGAAGAAGAAGAGGAAUGAGAAGUUGUGAGGUUUCCAGGUCUUCUAUUCAAGAGCCCACCUCAACAGCUUCAUUAUGUUGCUACCUUUCUGCCUCCCACCUACAAAGAUGAAGAAGAUGAGGAGGAAGAGGAAAAAGAUACUUGUAGAGAACUGACUGCUUUGCACAAAUUUGCUUGUUCUCCAGAGACCAAUGAGAAAGAAUGUGGCAGCAUCUGUAAUUGUCAGAAUGGAGGCACCUAUGAUCUUCUGACUGGCAGUGCCAGAGCCCCCCAGGGGUUCAUGGGAAAACUUGUAAAGACGGAAGGAAGGUCUGGUGCCAGUCAGUAAGAUUACUCCUUAAGUUCUUGGGGUUUCUAAUGGGAAAUAAACUAAGUGAAAGUUGCAUGUGUAUUUUUCAAAAUGGCCUUUUUCUGAAGAAGUAAAAGGCUGUGAAAGCUGUGUCUCUCUCUAUAUAAAAGAGUACAAUUUGUUGUUACACAAUGACAUGUGUAACAACAAAAUAAGUGAUACUUAAAUCUCCAACUGUGAUCUAAGCAGGAUGAAUCCUCUUACAGAGAAAGCCUUUUUCUUCUACCGAGCAAAAACUUACAUUUAUGUGUACAGGUUUAGAUGUAGGAGCUUAGGAGAAGUUAUUUUCUCUGCAUAACAAAAUGAAGAACAAUGGAGCUCCUUGGGGAAACCAGGGAGGAAGACAGAUGAAAAUUAGAGAAGAAAAGGGGAGGAGGUAGAGAGAAAAAGAGAAAAAGAGAUGAUAGAUAAAAAACUCACAAAAUACCAAUGAGUACUGUGCAUAGAUUGUGUGUGUGUGUGUGUGUGUGUGUGUGUGUGUGUGUGUAUGUGUGUGUGUGUAAACCAGUGAAGAGGCAACAAUUCCUACAUGGGUUAAUAAAGCACAAAAAAAGAACCUGAUUGUACAGGCACAAAAGCUGAAGGCACAGAGUCAAUGAGGAUGUAAGUCUCUAGGGAUUGCCAGAAAUCAUGAGGAGUUUAUUAGCUUCUCACAGUUGAUGGAAUUGGGGAGUUGGAAACCAAGUUUACUUCACUUUCUGAGAUGCAGUAAGGUUCCUGCUGGCAUUUCAGUUACUUAUCUUUGUGAGCAAUGUUCAUUUAUUUAUUUAAAAAAUACAUUAAGUGGUUGCAAGGAAUGGCACCAGACAUUAUGAUAUGAUAGCAAAAAGGAAAAAAAAAUAUAUUAUUGUGCUUCCAUGUGGAACAUGUGAUUUUGUUCAAGGCAACCAUAAAUUACAAAUACUGGUAGGGAUUACAAGUUAGAUAUUAAUAUGUGGUUGGAGGUGAGACCAUGAGGACAAUGCAGACUGUAUGAGCCUGGGACAGAGACUUAUGGAGAAGGGACAUUUAAGCAAAAGCCUGCAAAAUGUGGAGAGAUAAAACAUGGGAAGAGUGGGGAAAGGGCUUUCCUGAUUAAGAGGCAACAGGAAGGCAUGGGAUGCACUAUGAAACCUGCAGAGGCCAGCGGAGCACAGGCAGACAGGCAGAGGGUAGUGCAACAUGAGGUCAGCAAGCUCAGGGGCCCCAGUCUUAUUAAGUUUGGUAUUUUUGACCUGACAGCAAUGACGAGUCAUUGUAGGAUUUUAAGCAGAGGAUACAGAAUCAUCUUGGUGGUUUUUAAAAGAUCUCUCUAGCCUCACUUCAACCAGAUUAGAAACGUUUCACCUUUCUCAAUCUCCUGACUUCCUAUAACAAUAACUCUAGCAAGUUUUACAUGUGGGUUAAUAUUUUCUUCAUUUGUCCUCUCACCCUCCAGGAUGGACAAAAGGGUUCUUUUGGAAGAACUGCAAAAGGAAAUGUAACUGUGCCAACAAUGGCCAUUGCCACAGGGUGUAUGGCACCCAUAUGUGUGAGGUGGUUUUGUCAUCUGCGUAACUUGCAGGCAAUUAAUUUGCUCUGUGCGUAAAACAUGAAAGCACAGAAAAGUGCAGAGACUACUGUCACACAAAGGAAGAGGACUAAUGCCUCUGAAAAUCUUUCCUGACUGAACUUCAGUAUUUUAGUCCAUUUGGGCUGCUACAACAGAAUGCCGUAAGCCAGGUUGUACAUAAUCAACAAAUACUUGUUUCUCAUAGUUCUGGAGACUGGGAAGACUAAAAUCAAGACAUCAGAUUUGGUAUCUGGGGAGGGCUUACUUGUUGGUUCUUAGAUGGCAUCUUUUCACUGUGUUCUCAUGCAUGGUGGAAGGGGCAAGGCAGUUCUCUGGGGUCUCUUUUAAGAGCACUAAUUUUAUUCAUGAAAGCCCUACCUUCAUGACAUAAUCACUUAAUCACUGCUAAUACCAUAGCCCUGGGAGUUAGGAUUUUAACGUAUGAAUUUUGGGAGGACAAAAACAUUCUAACCGUAGAACGACUCAAUACCAUAGCCAUCUCUUAAUAACAGACACCUUUUAGAGUCUUAUGUUUUAUUUUUAGUGAAUGUCCAUGAUUCUUGUCUAUUUUAUAAAAGCCGUAUCCAUAGGAAAGAUAAAUUAUAAAUAUAUCAAUAAGAGAGUCAGUGAAGCCAUCUCAGAACACUGAACCUGGAGCAUGAGGAAACAUUAGGCUUAGACAAGCAACAUAGAAGAGAAGGGGAAAGGUGUGGGAAACCAUGAGCAAUAGAGGUGCAGAUGGUAUGUUCCAGAAUGUUAUAUACCUCCUAGGAUAUGCCAAGAGAAGAAGACUGACCUAGAAAAAAAGAUAAUAUUUGUAUUAUUGUUCCCCUAGUGUAACAAGACACAUCCUACUUUUAGUAUUAACUUUAGAAUAUGUAAAAAGGUUACAUCAGAUAUUAUGGCAAAAAUAAUUGAAUCAUUAUUGAUCUGGUCAAAAACCUAAAGGGCUAACUUUUCAGAAACAUCAGGUUGAAGUUUUUAGGGUUUAAUAAUAUUGGCAUAGUAGAUAUUUAUUCAUUUGCAUGCUGUGAGGAGUUGAGGCACAGGAAAAAAUUCAGCAAAUAUGUUUGUUGUGUUGUUGUUGGUGGUGGUAGUUAGCAUUGUGAAUAUGACUAUCUUUAGGAAAAACAGAUACAUUCUAGUUCUUUGUGGCUCCCUUAUUGCUUGGACUUGAAGAUUUAUUGAUUAAUAUCACUUUCCUGGACUUCAGGAACUUGAGUUUGCAACUCUAUAUAUUCUUUUUUUAGUCCCGCCAUAACAAAGUACCACAAACUGAAUGGUUUAAACCACAGAAAUUUAUUGCCUUGUAGUUCUGUAAGCUAGACAUCCAAGAUCAAGGUGUCCACAACCCCCUGAAGGUGCUAGGGACAGAUCUGUCCCAGGCCUCUCUCCUAGUUUCUGGUAGUUCCUUGGCUUGUGGCAACAUAACUUCAAUCUUCAUAUGGUACAUGUCUCUGCAUACAAAUACUCCCUAUUUAUAAGGACAGUAGUCAUAUUGAAUUAGAGGCCAUCCUAUUCCAGUAUGACUUCAUCUUAACUACUUAUGUUUGCAAUGAUUCCGUUUCAAAUAAAUUUACAUUCUGAAGUACUGAAGGGUUAGAACUUCAACAUAUGAAUUUUUGGUGAACACAUUUCAAUGCCUUACAACCCCUGCAUGGGCACUGUGUGAGAGAUUACUUCUUUCACUUUUCCUUAUUUCCAAAUAUAUUCCAGUAAGGAGAUGUUCUUAAGAUACAAAUGGUCACAUUUAAGCAUUUCUCUGUGUCUGUGUUGUCUUCUGAACCAUAAUUCUAUGUGCUGAACCAGAAAGAAUAGGGCAUGAAGGACAAUCCUGAGCAAGGAUUUAGGAAUGAGCAAGAAGAGACCUACAUUAAGGCAGGCAAUGGCCUGAGAGACCCUGGGACCUGGUGGGUGUAGGAAAGGAUCCAAAACUUGGAAGCCAUAGAAAAGGAAAUAGAGGAUCAUAUAAUUUGUUAUCUCCAUUGGGAAACCUGAAAAAGACUCUGUUAACUUUAGAGGUAACUCUGUACUAUCCCUGGCAACUGGGACUAGGAUGGUCCUACAUGGUGGCAUCAUAACCAUCACUUGGAAUGAUCUCUACCAAUGUCUCUUUCCAUCCACUGGAAAGUCAAGUGUUCUCUCUAAGCAGCUUUCUACAGCAAAGCCUAUGUGGGCACACAAUGCAAUUACCUUGAGCCUGGAGGCCAACUUGAAGGAUUUUUUACUUGAUAUGUCACUUGGACAUCUGUAAUAGGGGAGAAAAAAAUGUCAGAGGGAUAUUUCAGAAAAGGAAUUGAAUUGCUGUAACACUUCUCAAAGAGAAAACUAUGGAUAUGUUUUCCUGAAUGCAAAGGUGCGACUUUUUCGUAUUAGAAUUCCUGUGCUGCCUUCCAUCCCUAAUACUCAAUGGCAUAGAGAAAAUAAUGAAAGGAAGGCAAGUACCAUUUGCCAAAGAUGUGGCCAAGAUAACGCUGCUGUCACCAUGAAAGCUUUGUGUUAUCUACACGAUGUAAAAUUAUUUCCGAUUACCAUAGAAUAGAAGGGAAUGAAAAUAACGGCCAGCCUUCUCAUAAGUGCUUGUCCGUCAUCUCCAUGCUGCAGCAGGAUGAAUAUGGGGCCUGGCAGGCCUUAGCUUUCUUUGGAGAAUAUUAACUAUAGGCACCAAUGGAGCACAUUGAGAAGCAAUUUCUCUCCCGGAAGCACCAAAGCCUUUUAAGUAGUUCAGGCUUCACUGUUCACGUCCAGUUGCCAAAAAGCAAAUGAAUUGCCUGAUUUAAAAGACAUUUGUUUCCUUAUUUUUUUUUUGGCAGUCAGGAUGAUCCUCUUGUUUUCCCCAUAAUCAGGCCCCACAGAACUACAUGCCUAUGCACUAACAAUUUAAAAUAAACAAAGCGUGGUUUUCAGGUGACCGCUUUGCCUCAAUUUGCUUGCACACUGUCCCAAGGGUGCCUACGGAGCUGGCUGCACUUCAGAAUGUCAGUGUGUGGAGAAGAAUACCCUGGAAUGCAGUGCCAAAAAUGGUAGUUGCACCUGCAAAUCUGGUUACCAAGGCAACAGAUGCCAGAAAGUCUGCCCAGAUGGCCUCUGGGGACCAGAGUGCUGGUUCUCCUCUGCACCCUGUGAAAAUGGAGGUCAGUGCAACAACAACAAAAAACUGGAAAUUGUGACUGCACUCCUGGUUACACAGGAAAAUCCUGUACCAUAUGAUACCCAAAAGGCACGUAUAGUCCAUAUUGCCAAAAGAUGUGUAAGUGCCUGAAUCGUGGCAUCUGUAACACCAUGAUUGGCACCUGUAUCUGCCCUCCUAGCUUCACUGGGGCCGACUGAAGUCAAACUUGUCCUGAAGAUCACUGUGGGCAGAACUGUGUUCAACGGCUUCCUGUGGCCCAGGACAAGGUGACCCAGUGACUGGAGUGUGUCAGUGUCCACCUGGCCGAAUGGGAACCAGGUGUCAGGAAGGUAACAAUGAUGGCAAGGUCACCUUCUCUGUCCAGGCACUAAUUUAGCUACGCUGCAAAAGUAGAUUUGGUGCCAACGAAGAUAAUUAUAUGCGCAAUACUUACAAGAAUUUUUUCUUUUAGUGUGGCUUUCAAAUAACAUGAAAGUACAUGCUCCCGGGCCCGGCGCAGUGACUCACGCCUGAAAUCCCAGCACUUUGGGAGGCUGGGGAGGGCGGAUCACGAAG
Macaca mulatta (Rhesus monkey) is the source of this 5619-nucleotide non-coding RNA. NCBI's taxonomy places the organism in Eukaryota, Metazoa, Chordata, Mammalia, Primates, Cercopithecidae. The record is from RefSeq and is a predicted model, not a curated record.